This 31-nucleotide non-coding RNA is filed under the name Homo sapiens (human). Lineage: Eukaryota; Metazoa; Chordata; Mammalia; Primates; Hominidae. The record is from RNAcentral.
GAGUAACUUAAAUGACAUCAGGGUGCUAAAU